CUACUACUCCCUCCGUUCCGAAUUACUUAUCUUAGAUUUGUCUAGAUACAGAGUUAUCUAGCACUAAAAUGAGUCCAGAUACAUUCGUAUCUAGAAAAAUCCAAGACAAGUAAUUCAGAACAGAGGGAGUAGGAU
Non-coding RNA from Triticum urartu, 135 nucleotides. Lineage: Eukaryota; Viridiplantae; Streptophyta; Magnoliopsida; Poales; Poaceae. The record is from Rfam.